UGGAGGGGCUAUGGGUGUGCGACCUCCUAGCACCAGGAGGGGCAGAGUGGGACAAGGCCAGACUCUGGCUGUUGUUCGGGGUAUACUUAGCUGCGUGGAUUCGGUCCCUUUCGUUAUCAGGAUAUGGGGGGCCAGAUGUCAGGGUGUGGGGCACCUCGAGCCGGGCUAGUAUUAGACUGGGAGAUCUCUCUCGUGUUAUUCAACCGGAGCACAAGCCGGGGCCGGAUUGCACUUGGAUCUGGAGGUCCGGACUCCACUUGAGGGCAGCUCUCUUCUUAUGGAAGGUGUUCUGGGACCGCCUUCCGACGAGAGCAGUACUGAGCAGGCGUGGCUGGGG
Molecule: long non-coding RNA, 337 nt
Filed under: Phoenix dactylifera (date palm)
Lineage: Eukaryota; Viridiplantae; Streptophyta; Magnoliopsida; Arecales; Arecaceae
Description: long non-coding RNA (PDAC_LNC003335)
Source: RNAcentral